GACGAACGCUGGCGGCGUGCCUAACACAUGCAAGUCGAGCGAACAGACGCUGCGCUUGUUGCUUUCACGUUUGCCGCGCACGGGAGUGACACACGUGUAAAACCUACCUAUCAGACUGGGAUAACCUGGGGAAAGCGGCGCAUAUACCGGAUAAUAUAUUGAUCCGUGUGGUUGGAUAGUGAGAGACGGCUUUGGUGUAACUAAUAGAUGCAUCCGCGCCGCAUUAGCUAGUUGGUAAGGUCAAGGCUUACCAAGGCAACGAUGCGUAGCCGACCUGAGAGACUGAUCGGCCACACUGGAGCGUAGACACGGUCCAUGCUCCUACGGGAGGCAGCAGUAGGGAAUCUUCCGCAGUGGGCGAAAGCCUGACGGAGCAACGCCGCGUGAGUGAUGAAGGUCUUCGGAUCGUAAAGCUCUGUUAUUAGGGAAGAACAAAUGUGUAAGUAACUAUGCACGUCUUGACGGUACCUAAUCAGAAAGCCACGGCUAACUACGUG
RNAcentral lists this ribosomal RNA (497 nucleotides) under uncultured bacterium. RNAcentral's name for it is "partial 16S ribosomal RNA". It matches the Rfam family "Bacterial small subunit ribosomal RNA", at positions 28 to 507 of the family's 1533-position model. The record is from RNAcentral.